This 402-nucleotide ribosomal RNA is filed under the name uncultured Wolbachia sp. RNAcentral describes it as "bacterial SSU rRNA". It matches the Rfam family "Bacterial small subunit ribosomal RNA", at positions 355 to 774 of the family's 1533-position model. The record is from RNAcentral. Lineage: Bacteria; Pseudomonadati; Pseudomonadota; Alphaproteobacteria; Rickettsiales; Anaplasmataceae.
UGGGGAAUAUUGGACAAUGGGCGAAAGCCUGAUCCAGCCAUGCCGCAUGAGUGAAGAAGGCCUUUGGGUUGUAAAGCUCUUUUAGUGAGGAAGAUAAUGACGGUACUCACAGAAGAAGUCCUGGCUAACUCCGUGCCAGCAGCCGCGGUAAUAUGGAGAGGGCUAGCGUUAUUCGGAAUUAUUGGGCGUAAAGGGCGCGUAGGCGGAUUAGUAAGUUAAAAGUGAAAUCCCAAGGCUCAACCUUGGAAUUGCUUUUAAAACUGCUAAUCUAGAGAUUGAAAGAGGAUAGAGGAAUUCCUAGUGUAGAGGUGAAAUUCGUAAAUAUUAGGAGGAACACCAGUGGCGAAGGCGUCUAUCUGGUUCAAAUCUGACGCUGAGGCGCGUAGGCGUGGGGAGCAAACA